Oncorhynchus tshawytscha (Chinook salmon) is the source of this 2041-nucleotide long non-coding RNA. The record is from Ensembl. Lineage: Eukaryota; Metazoa; Chordata; Actinopteri; Salmoniformes; Salmonidae.
UGCUAAGAUAAGGAAGACAUCCUCUUCUGAAAAACAGACACAUCCAUCCUGCUAAGAUAAGGAAGACAUCCUCUUCUGAAAAACAGACACAUCCAUUCUGCUAAGAUAAGGAAGGAAAGAGGCAGAUUUUUUGUAAAACAGCUUGAUGCUGUCUAAACACUUUUUUGUGCAAAGACUUGAAGGAACUUUUCUAUUGCAUUUGUAUUACAUAUGAAUCUUUGUAAUUACAUUUGUGAUACAUCCGUUUCCACUCCCAGUUAAGCAGUCCUGAACCUUACUUUCUUUUCCCCUGUAAUGGGUGUGGAUGGUGAUGUACCUUAAACUUUGCAUGUCUGUCUCCCCAUUUUUGUCGGGGCUUGUGUAGAACACUGAUGGACCAGACUUGGCCGUGUCUUUAUUUUGUGUAGCUUUGUAGCGGUAACCUCGCAUGCGAUAAAUAUUGUGAAACAUUAACCAGGUUUCCAUCCAACCUUUUAAUGCGUGUAACGUACAUGUCAGAUAAAACAUUUAAUCACAGGCCUGAUGGAAACAGAUCAUUUUUGUCAGUAAACUUGCCAAAUGUCAACAAAACAAAAUACGCUAGACAAGGUGGGACCUUUUCGUGUCGGUAAAAUUAAUUACGUGAGAAAUGUUGGUGGAAACAAUUUUAUGCGCAAAUAUUGAUAUACUAGCCAUCAUAUCGAAGUAAACUUGGAGUGGUUGUGUGGUCCUCCCACUAAAGUUGUGUGGUCCUCCCACUAUGACUCAUAGGGAAAGCAUGCAGGUAUCUUUAUGUGUAAUACAUCAUCACACACAGACUUUUAUCCACAAGUCAAUUUGAUGGAAAAACAUCUCUGGUGGGAAAAUGCUCAUAUUGUUUUUAUACGUUUUUUAGCAUAUUCACAUGAAAAUCUGUCACCAGUUGGAUGGAAACCUAGCUAUAGAUACUCUGCUAUUAUUUGUCAUGUAGAUUUACAGUAUCUCCUGUCCGGUUGCCCAAUGGGCAAUUGUUUUUGUGAAGCAUUGUAUACCUGGAUGUGAAAUAGACUACUGUAUCUUCUCUGAACCUUUGUAAUUAUCUUUGACUGAUUCGGUCUUUUUUUGCCUUUUCAGCUGUUUUAGAAGUAUUUUUUAGGGGAAAUGCAAAGCCUCUUUCAAUCAGAAAACAAUCAGUGUACCUUUAAAUGUUCUGUUACAUUUGCCUGACAGUCAAAACUGUGUUGCAUUCAAACUGUUACCUUUGUGCAUUUAAUGUUUGUUCUUUUUAAAACAUAUUUUUGUACUUAAUUUGCGCAUGUAAAUUAUAAUUUAUUAAACCUUGCUUGCUGAAAAUGAACCUGUUUGCUCUGAGUCACCUAAAUUGUUCCAGUAACAACGAAGCCAAUGAAUAGGCAUUUCGUGCCAUGUGUGUUCAUUUUAGAAUAUGGUAAAUGUGUCCAGAACACCAGUCAUUGAGGUACAUGGCAUGCUACGUUUGCGUGUACAUGCAAAAUGACCUUGACAAAAGGGGCUGCUCCUCUCGAUCUGCAUAUUAAGAGUGACAGGCAGUGCUAUAGACGGCCCAGGGCCCACGUGACCGUAUGCAGCAUCCCCUCCAACUAGGCGUCAAUCACACUGAUUCGCUCUGGGAUUAACACAAAACCCACAAUACCUUUAGGCACGGCCCUGUCUGCAUUCAGGAGAUUUUUAAUUGCUAGAUACAUAUGCAAACAUUGUCCCUUGGGGUUUAUGCAUUUUAUGAUUUUAUGUUUAAUUAACCCACAAGCAAUUUCUUUCCGCACAAUUUCCAAAAACCUGUCAUGCCUUAUCUUCUUCACUUGCGGCUCAUUAUAAGAUCAAACUCUACCCUUGCAUUUAAACUGGCAGUGAACAAAAACAGUUGUUAUUUUGGUUCUUUUUGGUUCAUGGUCUGAUUGAGUUUCAGACACUUUCCACUGGAGGUUCUACUGGGCAGUGUUUACUGGCGGAGAACCACAGCCAUCCUGAAUGACAGCAGCUGGCCUCUCCUAAUUGAAUGUGAAAUCCCAUGAAAUGCUCUGCCAUUGUUCUCAGCAGUAACUGU